GGAGGCAUUUAAUAUACCCCUGUAAUAACAACAAGUUACAAAAAAUUGUCGCGGGUUCGAUUCCCGCCGCCUCCACCA
This 78-nucleotide transfer RNA is filed under the name Legionella pneumophila. RNAcentral describes it as "tRNA-Ser". Lineage: Bacteria; Pseudomonadati; Pseudomonadota; Gammaproteobacteria; Legionellales; Legionellaceae. The record is from RNAcentral. RNAcentral also lists the same sequence under 3 other names.